AGUGGACGCUGGCGGUAGGCCUAACACAUGCAAGUCGAACGGCAGCACAGUAAGAGCUUGCUCUUACGGGUGGCGAGUGGCGGACGGGUGAGGAAUACAUCGGAAUCUACUUUUUCGUGGGGGAUAACGUAGGGAAACUUACGCUAAUACCGCAUACGACCUACGGGUGAAAGCAGGGGAUCUUCGGACCUUGCGCGAUUGAAUGAGCCGAUGUCGGAUUAGCUAGUUGGCGGGGUAAAGGCCCACCAAGGCGACGAUCCGUAGCUGGUCUGAGAGGAUGAUCAGCCACACUGGAACUGAGACACGGUCCAGACUCCUACGGGAGGCAGCAGUGGGGAAUAUUGGACAAUGGGCGCAAGCCUGAUCCAGCCAUACCGCGUGGGUGAAGAAGGCCUUCGGGUUGUAAAGCCCUUUUGUUGGGAAAGAAAAGCAGCAGGUUAAUACCCCGCUGUUCUGACGGUACCCAAAGAAUAAGCACAGGCUAACUUCGUG
This 492-nucleotide ribosomal RNA is filed under the name uncultured bacterium. RNAcentral describes it as "partial 16S ribosomal RNA". It matches the Rfam family "Bacterial small subunit ribosomal RNA", at positions 29 to 507 of the family's 1533-position model. The record is from RNAcentral.